Microplitis mediator is the source of this 464-nucleotide long non-coding RNA. RefSeq lists it as uncharacterized. Lineage: Eukaryota; Metazoa; Arthropoda; Insecta; Hymenoptera; Braconidae. The transcript is spliced from 3 exons. The record is from RefSeq and is a predicted model, not a curated record.
GAAGUUAGUUGCGUCUAUGUGUGUGCGCGUAUGCUCUGCUUUUGUUGAGAAUUCAAAAACAAGUGUAGCACGUGAGCGUAAACACGUGAAACAAUAGAAGGAUCGCUAAAGCAAACGUUCAACAUGAGUGUUCAAAAUUCCGAUAACGAAGGACCAAGUGAAUAUGCAGUUGUGUGCUUUUUACCAAGACGAGGUCCUGGUUACGAUGAAAUUGAUUUGGUCCCAUAUUCAUGGAUUGACAUUGUGGAAGAAAAAUUAUAUUGCUAUUAUCCGAAUACAAAAAAAGAUUUAAAUAAAAGAGACAAAUAUUUAGAGAAAAAAUCUCGACCAAAGAAAAACUGGACACUUUGUGAAGUCGAAAUAAUCUCGAGUACUGAUACUUUAGAAAGAGGAAAGCGACACUUCAAACGUGCCGAAAUCACGAUGAAACAGUUGAAAGUCAUUAGAUGUUUUUAAAAAGUGGG